RNAcentral lists this ribosomal RNA (253 nucleotides) under uncultured bacterium. RNAcentral's name for it is "partial 16S ribosomal RNA". It matches the Rfam family "Bacterial small subunit ribosomal RNA", at positions 524 to 776 of the family's 1533-position model. The record is from RNAcentral.
UACGAGGGUCCCUAGCGUUGUUCGGAAUCAUUGGGCGUAAAGAGUACGUAGGCGGCUAGAUAAGUCAGGUGUGAAAUCCCCGGGCUCAACCCGGGAAGUGCAUUUGAUACUGUCUAGCUUGAGUAUGGAAGAGGGUAGUGGAAUUCCUGGUGUAGUGGUGAAAUACGUAGAUAUCAGGAGGAACACCGGUGGCGAAGGCGGCUACCUGGUCCUAUACUGACGCUGAGGUACGAAAGCGUGGGGAGCAAACAGG